GAUGAACGCUAGCGGGAGGCCUAACACAUGCAAGCCGAGCGGUAUUGUUUCUUCGGAAAUGAGAGAGCGGCGUACGGGUGCGUAACACGUGUGCAACCUGCCUUUAUCUGGGGGAUAGCCUUUCGAAAGGAAGAUUAAUACUCCAUAAUAUAUUGAACGGCAUCGUUUAAUAUUGGAAGCUCCGGCGGAUAGAGAUGGGCACGCGCAAGAUUAGCUAGUUGGUGAGGUAACGGCUCACCAAGGCGAUGAUCUUUAGGGGGCCUGAGAGGGUGAUCCCCCACACUGGUACUGAGACACGGACCAGACUCCUACGGGAGGCAGCAGUGAGGAAUAUUGGUCAAGGGGUGCAAGCCUGAACCAGCCAUCCCGUGUGAAGGACGACUGCCCUAUGGGUUGUAAACUUCUUUUGUAUAGGGAUAAACCUACCCUCGAGAGGGUAGCUGAAGGUACUAUACGAAUAAGCACCGGCUAACUCCGUG
Molecule: ribosomal RNA, 479 nt
Filed under: uncultured bacterium
Lineage: Bacteria
Description: partial 16S ribosomal RNA
Rfam family: Bacterial small subunit ribosomal RNA
Source: RNAcentral